This 410-nucleotide ribosomal RNA is filed under the name uncultured bacterium. RNAcentral describes it as "bacterial SSU rRNA". It matches the Rfam family "Bacterial small subunit ribosomal RNA", at positions 61 to 517 of the family's 1533-position model. The record is from RNAcentral.
GUCGAACGAAGGCUUCGGCCUUAGUGGCGCACGGGUGCGUAACGCGUGGGAAUCUGCCCCUCGGUUCGGAAUAACAGCGAGAAAUUGCUGCUAAUACCGGAUAAUGACGUAAGUCCAAAGAUUUAUCGCCGAGAGAUGAGCCCGCGUAGGAUUAGCUAGUUGGUGUGGUAAAGGCGCACCAAGGCGACGAUCCUUAGCUGGUCUGAGAGGAUGAUCAGCCACACUGGGACUGAGACACGGCCCAGACUCCUACGGGAGGCAGCAGUGGGGAAUAUUGGACAAUGGGCGAAAGCCUGAUCCAGCAAUGCCGCGUGAGUGAUGAAGGCCUUAGGGUUGUAAAGCUCUUUUACCCGGGAUGAUAAUGACAGUACCGGGAGAAUAAGCUCCGGCUAACUCCGUGCCAGCACCCG